RNAcentral lists this ribosomal RNA (466 nucleotides) under uncultured bacterium. Its description in RNAcentral is "partial 16S ribosomal RNA". It matches the Rfam family "Bacterial small subunit ribosomal RNA", at positions 28 to 507 of the family's 1533-position model. The record is from RNAcentral.
GACGAACGCUGGCGGCGCGCCUAACACAUGCAAGUCGAACGAGCGAGAGAGAUCUUGCUUUCUUGAGCGAGUGGCGAACGGGUGAGUAACGCGUGAGGAACCUGCCUCAAAGAGGGGGACAACAGUUGGAAACGACUGCUAAUACCGCAUAAGCCCACGGUGCCGCAUGGCACAGAGGGAAAAGGAGCAAUCCGCUUUGAGAUGGCCUCGCGUCCGAUUAGCUAGUUGGUGAGGUAACGGCCCACCAAGGCGACGAUCGGUAGCCGGACUGAGAGGUUGAACGGCCACAUUGGGACUGAGACACGGCCCAGACUCCUACGGGAGGCAGCAGUGGGGAAUAUUGCACAAUGGGGGAAACUCUGAUGCAGCGACGCCGCGUGGAGGAAGAAGGCCUUCAGAUUGUAAACUCCUGUUGUUGGGGAAGAUAAUGCCGGUACCCAACAAGGAAGUGACGGCUAACUACGUG